GGGGAUAUAGCUCAGGUGGUAGAGCGAGCGCCGCCCUUGCAAGGCGGAUGCCAGCGGUUCGAGUCCGCUUAUCUCCA
Molecule: transfer RNA, 77 nt
Filed under: Schizaea pectinata
Lineage: Eukaryota; Viridiplantae; Streptophyta; Polypodiopsida; Schizaeales; Schizaeaceae
Description: tRNA-Ala
Rfam family: tRNA
About the family: Transfer RNA (tRNA) molecules are approximately 80 nucleotides in length. Their secondary structure includes four short double-helical elements and three loops (D, anti-codon, and T loops).
Source: RNAcentral